UCCACGCCCUAAACGAUGUCUACUAGUUGUUGGGUCUUAAUUGACUUAGUAACGCAGCUAACGCGUGAAGUAGACCGCCUGGGGAGUACGGUCGCAAGAUUAAAACUCAAAGGAAUUGACGGGGACCCGCACAAGCGGUGGAUGAUGUGGAUUAAUUCGAUGCAACGCGAAAAACCUUACCUACCCUUGACAUGGCAGGAAUCCCGGAGAGAUCUGGGAGUGCUCGAAAGAGAACCUGCACACAGGUGCUGCAUGGCUGUCGUCAGCUCGUGUCGUGAGAUGUUGGGUUAAGUCCCG
This 297-nucleotide ribosomal RNA is filed under the name uncultured bacterium. Its description in RNAcentral is "partial 16S ribosomal RNA". It matches the Rfam family "Bacterial small subunit ribosomal RNA", at positions 794 to 1089 of the family's 1533-position model. The record is from RNAcentral.